UUUGACUCAACACGGGAAAAAUUACCCGGCCCGGGCACAGGAAGGAUUGACAGAUUAAGGGUUCUUUCUUGAUUCUGUGGAUGGUGGUGCAUGGCCGUUUUUAGUUGGUGGAGCGAUUUGUCUGGUUAAUUCCGAUAACGAACGAGACUCUAGCCUACUAAAUAGACGCUCCGAUCCUUCGAGUCGGACGAAAUGGGUCUUGCUUUUCGCCGUCGACGGAGCAGCUGGUCCACUGGGUUAGGUGUUUUCAGCCUGUUGGAUCCCGUCGAUGGAAUUUAAAGUAUAUAUAUAUAAAGAGCUUAGUAGUGUGUCCUCCUGCAAUUGACCACGCUAAACGAGGAGCAUUGAAAUAAGGACCAGAACAUGGAAAAAAGGUGCAUGAUGGGGG
RNAcentral lists this non-coding RNA (388 nucleotides) under Stegodyphus mimosarum. RNAcentral's name for it is "eukaryotic small subunit ribosomal RNA". It matches the Rfam family "Eukaryotic small subunit ribosomal RNA", at positions 1194 to 1401 of the family's 1831-position model. Lineage: Eukaryota; Metazoa; Arthropoda; Arachnida; Araneae; Eresidae. The record is from Rfam by way of RNAcentral.